This 777-nucleotide ribosomal RNA is filed under the name uncultured Neocallimastigales. RNAcentral describes it as "partial large subunit ribosomal RNA". It matches the Rfam family "Eukaryotic large subunit ribosomal RNA", at positions 24 to 640 of the family's 3401-position model. The record is from RNAcentral. Lineage: Eukaryota; Fungi; Neocallimastigomycota; Neocallimastigomycetes; Neocallimastigales.
UACGACUACAUAUCAGGCAUAUCAAUAAGCGGAGGAAAAGAAACUAACAAGGAUUCCCUUAGUAACGGCGAGUGAAGCGGGAAGAGCUCAAAUUUGAAAUCUUCAAGGUUUUACCUUGACGAAUUGUAGUUUAAAGAAGUGUUUUCUGUUAGAGGAGUUCGGUAAAAGUUCUUUGGAAUAGGACAUCAUAGAGGGUGAGAAUCCCGUAUUUGGUCAUUCCUUCUAGCUUUGUGAUACACUUUCAAAGAGUCGGAUUGUUUGGGAAUGCAGUCCAAAAUGGGUGGUAAAUUUCAUCUAAAGCUAAAUAUUGGCGGGAGACCGAUAGCGAACAAGUACCGUGAGGGAAAGAUGAAAAGAACUUUGAAAAGAGAGUUAAACAGUACGUGAAAUUGUCAAAAGGGAAGCGUUUGACACCAGUGUUGUUUUUCCGAAAAUCAAUUAAGAAGGGCUUGAUUUUGUGUUGUAUUGACCUUAUCAGCUUUCUUCACUCUUUUUCGAGUCUUUCUUAAUGCACUUUUCGGUUAACAAGUCAACAUCAAUUUCUUUUGUUGUAAAAGGGUAUUUGGAAGGUGGCUUUCUUUUCGGAGAAAGUGUUUAUAGCCUUAUACCUCUACAAUCGGAGAGAUUGAGGUCUGCAGCGUAGAUCCUUCGGGGCUAGAUACACUUGUGCUAAGUUAUAGCUUUUCAUAGACAACUUGUUGACCAUGUUUAGUCAUGUAGCUUACCCGCUUGUGCUAUUUUACCUACGCUUAGGAUGUUGAUCUACAGAGCGAGAGU